GAUACUAGUCGGAUUCUUAACCCUCUGAGCCACAGUGGAAACUCCAAAAUGGGGGUGAUACUAUGGCUCUCAUAGCACUGCUGUACGGACCAAACAGAGUGACUCAUGGAAUGUGCCUGCCACGCCUGGAGAAACAGCUCUCAGAGAUGAUGAGAACAGCAGAGACCACACAAGUCCAGGAUAGAGACUGUACCUGCAAGGCGUGCAAGCUCUUCGCGGGACCGUCCAGAACCCUUGAAAGGAGAUGGAUUUCACCGACGCCCACACAACGCACCCAUAUGCUCCUAUGAGGCGCAAGCACGCAGGGAGCACUCGGAACCAGCUCCUUAUGUGAUGGAACCCAGAAGGCCCACAAUCUCUCUACAAGCUGGAGCCCCAGGAAAGCUGGUGCUAUAAUUCAGUCGGGUUUGAAGACUUAAGAAUUGGAACCAGUGGUCUGAGUCCCAGCCUGAGUCUGAACUCCCAAGAACGUCCAAGGGCAGAAGAGGGGUGUUUCGGCUCAAGCAGGCAGUAGACUCACCCUUUCUCUGCCUUUUUGCUCUAUUCAAGCCCUCAGUUUAUUGUAUCAUGCCCACAUGUCGGGGGGGGGGCAAUCUUUUUUACUCAGUCUACUGAAUUAAAGGCUAAUCUCUUCAGAGA
This is a long non-coding RNA of Phacochoerus africanus (Common warthog), 639 nucleotides long. RefSeq lists it as uncharacterized. The transcript has 2 exons. Lineage: Eukaryota; Metazoa; Chordata; Mammalia; Artiodactyla; Suidae. The record is from RefSeq and is a predicted model, not a curated record.